RNA transcript from Prunus dulcis (almond), 4101 nucleotides. It is a transcript of the gene named DExH-box ATP-dependent RNA helicase DExH11-like, with no coding region annotated. The transcript has 19 exons. NCBI's taxonomy places the organism in Eukaryota, Viridiplantae, Streptophyta, Magnoliopsida, Rosales, Rosaceae. The record is from RefSeq and is a predicted model, not a curated record.
ACAUGUCUGUCAGUAUGGAACCCUAAUGAAAUCCCAAACCGACUCUUCAACAAGAGUUAUGUUUCAUCGACGCCUGACCUCCAACGCCAGAUGACCAAAAACACCUCCAACAUCCAAGAUUGGGGCUUUUCAGAUUCGUGGACGAUCUCAGAUUGCGAAGAAACUAAACUGUUGUUGCUGAUACAUCAUCAUCAUUAUCAUUAUCGCAGAGAAAGAGAUCUCAUCUCAAUCUAAAGGAGACAGAGGAUGCAAUCUGCUUCAAGAUCAUGAUUUUUUUCAACCAAUUUCAAUUUCUAUUGCUAAAGUUUAAACCUUUGCCUAUUGUGCAGUGGCUGCGUUUGUCGUUUGGUCCGUAUGAUUUGAAUUUCAUCCAAAGGUUGACCAAAUCCAUCAUCAUCAUUAUCAUCAUCGCAGAGAAAGAGAUCUCAUCUCAAUCUAAAGGGUUGUGCAUGUACAGUCUUACUGAUUCACUUGUGUUCAUAGAUGUUCAUUGGUUGAUGACGUUGAUGAGUUAUCAGUCAUGCCAAUUAUUGGAUUUUCUGAUACAAGGUACCAAACAAAGUGGAGUUCGCGGACUGGAUUGGACGGACAAAGCAAAAGAAAAUCCGUGUUACUGGGUAAGCAUGAAUCUGUGUGGCAUAUGGAUUUAACUAUUUUUGUUCUUUUGAGUCAAUUCAAAUCAAUUAAAACUAUCUUGAUUUGUUUUUAUCACUGCUUACUAUUCAUUCUUCUAAGAAUGUGGCAGAAAGGGGGUUUGUAAUGCUUUAUUGUCAACUUUUUUACAUCAUUUUCAUAUUUGAGGUUAUAAUUUUGAUAUCAGGACUACAAAAAGACCAGUACCAUUGGAGCACUGCCUAUUUUACUCCGGAGAACUUUACAAAAUAUGUGAAAGUGAAAGCUUUAUUCCCCAGGGGUUCAAAGCUGCAAAAGAUGCAUUCAAGAAAAAGAAUAUGAGUGCUGCGACUGGUGGUAGUGGAUCACAUGCUCCAGCUCCAGUUUCUCAUGAUGGGGCUCGAACUCAAAAACAAAGUUCUAACUGGGGAAAACAAAAGAAGCAAUCUGGUCCCCAAAAUUUGGGGAAUUUCUCCAAAGCUGGUGGAUCAAAUCAAAACAAUGGAAAUGGCAUGAACAAUUGGGGUUUAAGGAGAUCAGAUGCCUCUUUGUGGUUGUCACUUAUUAACAAGCUCUCGAAGAAGUCUCUGUUACCUGUGGUUAUAUUUUGUUUCUCAAAGAAUCGCUGUGAUAAGUCAGCUGAUAGUAUGUAUGGGAUUGACCUCACAAGUAGUUCUGAGAAAAGUGAGAUUCGUGUGUUCUGUGAUAAAGCAUUUUCGCGGCUAAAGGGAUCUGACAGGACUUUACCACAGGUUGUCAGAGUUCAAAACCUUCUUCAUAGAGGAAUUGGUGUCCAUCAUGCUGGACUGCUUCCAAUUGUUAAGGAAGUUGUUGAAAUGCUUUUUUGUCGUGGUGUAAUCAAGGUUUUGUUCUCAACAGAGACAUUUGCAAUGGGAGUCAAUGCACCAGCUAGAACGGUUGUUUUUGAUACGUUAAGGAAAUUUGAUGGCAAGGAAUUUAGACAAUUACUGCCUGGAGAAUACACUCAAAUGGCAGGCCGUGCAGGCCGAAGGGGACUUGAUAAAAUUGGUACAGUUAUUGUAAUGUGCCGUGAUGAAAUCCUAGAAGAAAGUGAUUUAAAGCAUGUCAUAGUUGGAAGUGCAACCAGGCUUGAAUCUCAGUUUCGGCUUACCUAUAUUAUGAUCUUGCAUCUCCUUCGUGUUGAGGAACUGAAGGUGGAGGACAUGCUUAAAAGAAGUUUUGCUGAAUUCCAUGCUCAGAAGAAACUACCAGAACAGCAGCAACUUCUGAUGCGAAAGCUUGCACAACCUACAAAAACUAUUGAAUGUAUAAAAGGUGAACCAGCUAUUGAGGAGUAUUAUGACAUGUACUCAGAAGCUGAGACAUAUUACACGGAAAUAUUGGAGGCAGUUAUGCAGUCCUCUGUUGCCCAAAAAUUUCUUACAGCUGGGAGAGUGGUAGUCAUGAAAUCACAAUCAGCCCGGGACCACUUGCUUGGAGUCGUCGUGAAAGCUCCUUCUUCUAGUAAUAAGCAAUACAUUGUUUUAGUGCUGAAACCUGAAUUACAAACUCCCCUGGCUAGUGGUAACUUGCAAGAUAGUAAAAACACCAAUUUUCCACAAGGUUAUUUCAUGGCCCCAAAAUCUAAACGUGCUAUUGAAGAAGAUUAUUUUUCUGGCAUCACUUCUCGCAAAGGAUCGGGUGUCAUCAACAUAAAAUUAACACACCAGGGUUCUGCUGCUGGGGUAAGGUUUGAGGUUAGAGAAGUCAAUGACAAGGAUUUUUUAUGCAUAUGCAAUUGCAAGAUAAAGAUUGACCAAGUUCGGCUUCUUGAAGACGGUAGCAGUCCUGCUUACUCCAAGACAGUUCAACAGCUGUUGGACACAAAAUCCAAUGGAAAUAAGUACCCUCCAGCCUUACAUCCAAUGGAAGAUGUUCUGAAGGAAAUUGGAUGUAUAGAUGCUGACCUUGUUGUUCAAAUAAAAGGCUGUGUUGCAUGCGAAAUGAAUUCAGGGGAGGAGUUGAUUUGCACAGAGUGUUUGUUUGAGAACCAACUGGAUGACCUGGAACCAGAAGAAGCUGUGGCGUUAAUGUCCGCCUUUGUGUUUCAGCAGAAGAAUACUUCCGAACCUUCUCUUACUCCAAAACUGUCUCAGGCGAAACAAAGGCGUAAUCAUUACAUAACUCACCCCUUUGUAAGAUGCAAGUGAUUGAUGGGCUGCUACGCAGCACAGCACUGGGAGCUUCCUAUCGAGCGCCGCUUGGAUGGCUUUUUCUCCGCGUAUGCUCUUAAAACCAUUGAGAAAACCUGAGGGGAACUACAGGUUUAGAAUGACUUCGCCUCCGCCUCUUUUCUCGUUCGAUCCUCUACGGCCUCCGCUUCCUCUCUCCUUCGUUCUUCUACGCCCCUGCCUCCGCCUCUGCUUUUUCGAUUGUCUGCCUUCCUCCUCCUCCUCUGCUUUUUCGAUUGUCUACCUUCCUCCUCCUCCUCCUCCUACUUGGCUCUUCUCCUCAGCUAUCAGCUAUUUCAUACCCAGAAGUGUUGGAUCCUGAGCAAGCAGUGAAAGGGCUAUCUGGUGUGAAUUGGAAUAAAUAAAAAAAAUUUGCUGGGUUUUUGAGACUUGUGAUGUUAUUCAUCAGUAUUCAUGCCUGGUUUCUUCUUGCAAUAAUUUUGUUGAUUGUUGUAGGAAACUCCGCUCUCAAACAUAGACAAUGAACAAUUGAGUUGACAUGCUGCUGGGAGAAUUGUUUGCAAUGCAGAGAAGACUUGUCUCUUACUUUUGUGAUGAUGAACUGGGUUGUAGCAAGCAAUUUUGACAUAAGAGUUGAGUUGAAAUUGAAACUUGCUAUUGAACCAAAAGGGAGCUGCUGAAAGUGGGUCUAAGCAGCAGCAACAACAACCCAACAGGGUAGACAUGGAUCGAAAGAGAAAGAGGAAGAUUGUGACAACUCUAGUUGCAGUAGAGUUAGAUAAACAACAUUUGUGUGCAUCCAUGAUGUCAGUAACUGUCAUAUAUACUUUGACAGAUGGUACUAUGAAAAAUACCAUUACCGCAUCUGACCAAUGGUCUGGAUGGAGGGAUAGUAAAUAGAAAAUCUAUAUGUUGGGGGUUUUCUGGCUAGCUAAAAAUCUGUGAGAAAUGAUGAAUCCAUCUGAUUGCAGCCUAUUUAAUGUUUAAUACCUUCAUUAAAAAAAGGUUGUUGACAGUGCUUUGACUAUCUUGCAGAUUAUAAUGGCAAAACCAGCAGGUGGCCCUAGUGAGAGAGAUCAGCAUGCAGGGAUGGAUGAGGACUAAUUUUGUGUGUAUGACAAUUGACUAUCUUUGCUUGUAUUGCUCUAUGUUAGGGAUCUUUUGUUCCAUUUUAGUAACAAUUUUGUUUAGGAGAAAAAGAAACAUAUUGCAGUUCAUGCUUUGUAAAUGCCACUAUUAUGUUAUGAUGGACACGUGGUAUGCCCUUGUUGGGUAGGUUUUGGAUUGAAACCAUGGUCGAGUGCUUGAGCCAUGUUUAGUGUGAAGCUUGAAUGGA